AGGCGUGAGGGCGCCAGCAGCGCCGUCACCACAAACUCCGGCAUGUCCUCGCGCUCUGGGACAACGACAGAGCCGUGGUCGGAGGACUGAACCGGCGGUGCCGGCUCCGGGAGCCCACCGCCUUUGUUUGGGGAUCCCACUGUGCUGUCGGGCGCUGCGGAACCCCCUGAGGAGACAGGUGAACGGCUCGGGCAGAGACUGCCACCGCACAUGACUCACUCCAAAGUGGCAGAUUAUGAACCUGAAAUUCCGGGAUGAGGUCAUUUUGCCUGAAGUUAUCUAUCAUCUAUCUGCCUUAGCAGCAAUCCAGGACAACAUGGAAGCAGCAACCUGUGUUUCAUCCAACACUGAGGCCACUGGCAAGCUUUCAAAUUUCUUCUGGCGGUUAUCUAGAGAAAUAUUAGGUAUUUAGAGAGAAGCACUUCUGUGGCUGCUUCUAUCAUUGUGGUAGUAUCGACUGAGCCUAGAGCUCUGCACAUGCAGGAUCAAUGCCUUAAUUAGUCAUCAUCAGAGAAGCUUCCUCCUGCAGCUCAUGGGAGCAGAUACAGAGACCCACAGCCAGAGAGAGUCCUUGGAACAUUUAGCACUAAGUGGGAGGUCUCCAUCAAAUCUUUCCCCUCAGAGCUCCGAGAACCCCAAGGAAGAGGAGGUGGAGUGGAAGAGCCAGAGAGAAUGGAAGGCACCAGGAGAACAAGGCCCUCUGAAUCAACUAAGCAAGGCUCAUAUGAAUUCACAGAGAAGGAAGCAGCAAGCACAGACCAGGUCCUCUGGGUAUAUAGCUUUCAUUCAGCUCAGUAUUUUAUUGGGACUUCUGAUUGUGUGAAGAAGUGGACUUUUUUUGUUUGUUUUUUGAGCCUGAGUAGCCUUGGCUGUCCCAGAACUUCCUUUGCAGACCAGGUUGGCCUUGAACUAACAGAUUCACCUGCCUCUGCCUCUCAAGUGCUGGGAUUAAAGACAUGUACCACCACAGCCCAGCUGGGUCUCUGAUUCUUGUGCCCACUCCUGGGGCUCUUUUCCUUCUGUUGACUUGCUUUGUCCAGACUCAAUCUUUUAGAAGCUUGUUCUUCUCUAAUGAGACAGAAAUGAAGUGGAUCCAGAGAGGGCAGGUAGGAUGAAACUGGGAUUAGUAGAGGGAGGGAAAACUAUAAUCAGGAACUCCCCCUUUUAUUGAAAAAUAACAUUUUCAAUAAAGGGGGGGGAACAAUUAUUACUAUUUAUUGGUUUUUGUUUUCAUGCUGACUCUUGCAGCCAUGUAGCUUAGGUUGGCCUGUGACUGGCCUCCCCUUCCGGCUUGAUGGGAUUACAGACAUAGGCCAUCUGUACCCAAAUUCUUGAGACAAGAUCUUAUAAACUGCUUAGGAUCCUCUUGUGUUUCAGCCUUCUGAG
Molecule: long non-coding RNA, 1386 nt
Organism: Peromyscus eremicus (cactus mouse)
Lineage: Eukaryota; Metazoa; Chordata; Mammalia; Rodentia; Cricetidae
Exons: 3
Source: RefSeq, a predicted model, not a curated record